GAUUAUGGCUCAGGAUGAACGCUGGCGGCGUGCUUAACACAUGCAAGUCGAACGAAGCCAAAAGGAAGCUUGCUUCUUGAAGCUUAGUGGCGGACGGGUGAGUAACGCGUGAGCAACCUGCCCUUCAGUGGGGAAUAACACAGAGAAAUCUGUGCUAAUACCGCAUAACGUCUUCUUGCCGCAUGACAGGAAGACCAAAGGAUUUAUUCGCUGAAGGAUGGACUCGCGUCCGAUUAGCUGGUUGGUGAGGUAACGGCCCCACCAAGGCGACGAUCGGUAGCCGAACUGAGAGGUUGAUCGGCCACAUUGGGACUGAGACACGGCCCAGACUCCUACGGGAGGCAGCAGUGGGGAAUAUUGGGCAAUGGGCGAAAAAGCCUGACCCAGCAACGCCGCGUGAAGGAAGACGGUCUUCGGAUUGUAAACUUCUUUGAUUGGGGAAGAAACAAAAUGACCUACCCAAAGAACAAGUCACGGCUAACUACGUGCCAGCAGCCGC
RNAcentral lists this ribosomal RNA (499 nucleotides) under uncultured bacterium. Its description in RNAcentral is "bacterial SSU rRNA". It matches the Rfam family "Bacterial small subunit ribosomal RNA", at positions 15 to 518 of the family's 1533-position model. The record is from RNAcentral.